RNAcentral lists this unclassified non-coding RNA (448 nucleotides) under Hevea brasiliensis (rubber tree). The record is from RNAcentral. Lineage: Eukaryota; Viridiplantae; Streptophyta; Magnoliopsida; Malpighiales; Euphorbiaceae.
GGAUGUUUAACGCAAGAGACGAUGUAAGUAUACUGUCGUUUUGUUGUUAGCAGUGUCAAAGAAGAGAAGAUAAACGACAGUAAGUUUUGUUUGGGCAGUUGGAAUAUUAUUGUUGGUAUUAGGUGGGUAAUUGAAUGGGCCAAGAGGGUGAUGAAUAAUUCUGGUGUAGUGGUGUAAAAAUGGAGUGGAGUGGUGGACGGUGGAGAUGGAUGAAGCUUUAGAUUUUCAAGGGACUGUAGGGAUACUGGAGAUGGUGGGUCAAAUAUUAAAGCUAAGGAAUCAAAAUCUUUUUAUGUCACCUCACAAGUGAUGAAUUAAGCAAAUGAUAAGACCUUUGUUGCCACUUGCCAUGACAACAUAACCUUACCCAGUAAAACCUGUCGCCCACUUCUUUUGUUUGUUUUGUUAUGCUUAAGAAGAUCUAUUGAGAUAUUUAACUUGAGAUCUC